UCUUGAACUCUACCCUUCUGUCCUAGCUUCUUCACCCUCCCCCGUCUAAUAUGAUCAAAGUACUUCUUUUGUGUGUCCCGUGUAAAGUUGAUAGGAGCAUAUGCUUCCAAACAACUUUGAGUGGAGUCGUUCGAAAAGAAGUUUCUACGGCCCCCUUGCUCAUUUAACACUGCAUCCGGGUGCCGAUGGAGAUACAGCGACCCUUGCUCACUUAUCACUGUGUUUAAUUAAAAUAAUCCAUGUGGAUAACGACCUUACUUGCGCCAACUAUAAUACGAUAAUCAUGUUUGUCUUGCAAGUAAUUUAGGUGUUUUUAGCCUUUUUGCGCAAAUGGUAAAAAUCUUAUCAAAUCUCAAAUUCUCAAGUUUAAAUUCCAUAUAAGUAUGUGUCAUAUCCAAAUUUCCAUGAGUGAGAGUUUAAAAAUAAAAAAAUAAUGUGUUCAAAUUUCAUUGUUCUUUUUGGUUAACCAAAGAAAAAAAAAUCAUAAAUACUAGAAAUAAAAUUCCAUUAUUUCUAUUUUUAUUAUUUAAAAUUCUUUAAUUAUCUUAAAUUUUCUUAUCUAAACAUACUAUAAUAAAAAAAUUAAAGUACAAAAAUCAAUUUUCUACUGCUAAUUCUAAUUGUUGAAAAUCCAUGAAAGUCCCAAUAUCCCAAUAUAGUAAAAAUGAAAAUGCCCAACUACCCCAAUUCAUAAGCCCGUAAAAUACCCAAUGCGAUGUUUUAAAAUGUGGAAGCAUGUCAAGCCCCGACCCGUGAAUAAAGACUAUUCACGAGUUAUGAUGUGAGCCAUAUCUUAGCUAUGGAAAUAAAUUCUACAACCAAGAUAUGGUGGAAAAAUAAAAUAAAAUUAUUUGGAACUGAUUACACAAUACACAAUACAUCAACAAAAUCUUACAUAAAAAAUUAUUGAAUACGCAGCGGAGUAACUAUGGUGCACAAAUUAAUUUACAACAAAAACUACCAAUUACAUGAUAAUUAAAUUGUAACAAUUCUUUCAAAUGCAUGAAAUAUAUGCAAAUGAGAUAGAUGAAUGUACUCACUCCCUUCUAAUCCCGCUAACACAUACCUAAGGCACCCAAGCAUGCACGUCCCAUACCAUGCUUAUACCACUUGGCUCCGAAUACCUUAGAAUAUGAGUUAACUCCCCUUCAUCCCUUAAACCCAAUUUUUGUAAUUAAACUCUUAGUUUCCACUUUAUUAUAUAGGCACUUCCCCCGACACCCAAUUGUAUAUUCAAGCCCUUCCCCCGACGCUUGACAUAUACAAGAUUUCAUUAUUUUAUAAUCAACCAAUUUUUAUACUCAAGCCCUGCACCCUACACCUGACAUAUACAAGGUUCAUUAUUUUUAUAUUCAAGGCAAACUUCAGCCCUUGAAUAUCCUCACAACUCAAACACAAUUGAACUCUCUUUCUUGCUUUUCAAUGCAUAUGUUUAUGUCAUGUUCACAUAGAUAUCAAUAAUCACAUUCUAUCAUAUAAUUUGCAAAACUAGUCAAAAUUGUAUUAUAUUACCGAUAAUAUAGUAUUGAUAACACACAAUAAUCUAAUUGAGAAAUAUUACUUUACCAUUUUACUCCAUCUCUUUCUAGGUGAUAUGGAUGCAUAAACCCAUUUGAGUUCCAUAGUGCAAUUAUGUUGGGUAAAUGGAUAUUUUUUUAUGGUUUGGUGGGGGUGUUUCUUAUGGCAAUGAU
Molecule: long non-coding RNA, 1691 nt
Filed under: Malus domestica (apple)
Lineage: Eukaryota; Viridiplantae; Streptophyta; Magnoliopsida; Rosales; Rosaceae
Description: long non-coding RNA (MDOM_LNC014775)
Source: RNAcentral